Long non-coding RNA from Phyllostomus discolor (pale spear-nosed bat), 167 nucleotides. RefSeq lists it as uncharacterized. The record is from RefSeq and is a predicted model, not a curated record. NCBI's taxonomy places the organism in Eukaryota, Metazoa, Chordata, Mammalia, Chiroptera, Phyllostomidae. The transcript has 3 exons.
GUUUUCUUCUAGGAUUUUUAUGGUUUUGAGUCUUACAUUUAAGUCUUUACUCCAUUUUGAAUUUAUUCUUGUGUAUUGGGUAAGUAGGUGGUCUAGUUUCGUUAUUUUGCAUGUAUCUAUCCCAUUUUCCCAACACCAUUUAUGGAAUACACUCGGUAAUGGAAAAC